Molecule: small RNA, 127 nt
Filed under: Tenacibaculum pelagium
Lineage: Bacteria; Pseudomonadati; Bacteroidota; Flavobacteriia; Flavobacteriales; Flavobacteriaceae
Description: Tenacibaculum sp. S7007 6S RNA
Rfam family: 6S-Flavo RNA
Source: RNAcentral
ACUCAACACUAUUUAUUUAGAAAGGAUGAGUCUUGGUUCGUAGAGCAAGCCGUAUGUAUCAAUUUAUUUGAUGCCCAGAACGGAUCCUUGAUAAGCCAGUUAGUCCUAAACCUGUUUUUCGGAGUUU